RNAcentral lists this ribosomal RNA (251 nucleotides) under uncultured bacterium. Its description in RNAcentral is "partial 16S ribosomal RNA". It matches the Rfam family "Bacterial small subunit ribosomal RNA", at positions 85 to 339 of the family's 1533-position model. The record is from RNAcentral.
UUGCUGACGAGUGGCGGACGGGUGAGUAAUGCUUGGGAAUAUGCCUUUACGUGGGGGACAACAGUUGGAAACGACUGCUAAUACCGCAUAAUGUCUUCGGACCAAAGCAGGGGACCUUCGGGCCUUGUGCGUAAAGAUUAGCCCAAGUGGGAUUAGCUAGUUGGUAAGGUAAUGGCUUACCAAGGCGACGAUCCCUAGCUGGUCUUAGAGGAUGACCAGCCACACUGGAACUGAGACACGGUCCAGACUCC